Macaca mulatta (Rhesus monkey) is the source of this 241-nucleotide non-coding RNA. NCBI's taxonomy places the organism in Eukaryota, Metazoa, Chordata, Mammalia, Primates, Cercopithecidae. The record is from RefSeq and is a predicted model, not a curated record.
GUAUGCAGUAAGUGCUUACCACCAUCAGGGGCAUUUGACAUGGAAUAGCCCAUUUAAUCCUAACAUGCUCAUAACCACCUAAGGAGAUGAGGAGACUGAGGCACAGAAGGGGAUGGGCCUCACACAAGGUCACGGAGCUGGUGAGCAGCACAGGUUAUGGAGAAAAAACGAUUCUACCCCAGAACCUCAGGUCAACUACGGAUGGAAUAAAGACUCAGGAAAAGUAAAACUGUAGAAUGGA